ACGCUCGACACCUACGGUAGGCAGCAGUGGGGAAUAUUGCACAAUGGGGGAAACCCUGAUGCAGCGACGCCGCGUGAGCGAAGAAGUAUCUCGGUAUGUAAAGCUCUAUCAGCAGGGAAGAAGAUGACGGUACCUGACUAAGAAGCACCGGCUAAAUACGUGCAGCAGCCGCGGUAAUCUGAGCGGGCUGGCAAGGC
This 197-nucleotide ribosomal RNA is filed under the name uncultured bacterium. RNAcentral's name for it is "partial 16S ribosomal RNA". It matches the Rfam family "Bacterial small subunit ribosomal RNA", at positions 326 to 539 of the family's 1533-position model. The record is from RNAcentral.